GAUGAAGAACGCAGCAAAAUGCGAUAAGUAAUGUGAAUUGCAGAAUUCAGUGAAUCAUCGAAUCUUUGAACGCACAUUGCGCCCGCUAGUAUUCUGGCGGGCAUGCCUGUCCGAGCGUCAUUUCAACCCUCAAGCCCCCGGGCUUGGUGUUGGGGAUCGGCGAGCCUCCGCGCCCGCCGUCCCCUAAAUCUAGUGGCGGUCUCGCUGUAGCUUCCUCUGCGUAGUAGCACACCUCGCACUGGGAAACAGCGCGGCCACGCCGUUAAACCCCCAACUUCUGAACGUUUGACCUCGGAUCAGGUAGGAAUACCCGCUGAACUUAAGCAUAUCAAUAAGCGGAGGA
Molecule: unclassified non-coding RNA, 343 nt
Filed under: soil metagenome
Description: partial contains 5.8S ribosomal RNA, internal transcribed spacer 2, and large subunit ribosomal RNA
Rfam family: 5.8S ribosomal RNA (bases 1-120)
Source: RNAcentral